GACAGUUGAAAUGGUUCUUGCUGAUACAGCUGUAAGUAUAAGAACUAUCAUUUUGAAACAUAUUAAACAUUUAUCAAUCAUCAAUAUCACUGGAUGAUUAACAUGAGUUCUUUUUAUCUGUUGCCAGGGUACUUUGAUUCAUGCUACUGUUAAGAAGCCACAAGUGAGCAAACUGCAAAGGUUCAUAGUUUCUGGAGAAUGGCGUAUUAUCGAGCAUUUUACGCUAACCAAAUCAACAGGAAAGUAUCGAGCCACAAAACAUGGUUUCAAAAUGUCCAUGAUGGAAAAAACUGUGAUAAGUCGCACUCCUUCUGUUUCUGAUGACAUUUAUGUGGAUCUGGCAAACUUUCCAGAUAUUUUGAAUGAAGCAGGAUUGAGUGAAAACAUCUUAAUUGAUGUACUUGGACAGGUAGUUAGUUUCAAUGAAAUGAAAAUUCAUGAUGUUAAUAACAAGAUCACAAAGAGACUUGAGUGUGAACUCAGAGACACAAAGUAAGUUUUAUCAUGAAUCUACCUUUUUUAUUUAAUCUUACAUACAUCUAAACUUAAAACUUUCUCAAUAUUUUUGUUGUAUUGUAGUGAUGAAAGGCUGAAAUGCACUCUUUGGGGGAGAUUUGCUGAGGCAAUGUAUAAUGCAUGUCAAAAUGCAGGGACUGAGAGAGUGAUAUGCUUACUUCGGCUUGCAAAGAUCAACUCAUUUAAAGGUAUAGAAUGUUGUUACUGGGAAUAAUGGAUGAUUUUGAAAUCGAAAUGAAAUCAGAACAUAUGUGAAAAUACUAAUAUCAUGCUGUUUGUAGGUGAAAGAGCUGUUUUAAAUUCAUUUGAUAUGUCUCUAUUGGAAAUCAAUGCUACCUACCCUGCUGUUCUUGAUUUUGUGGCCAAGUAAGAUAUGUUUAAACAUCACAUUUCUUUUACUAAUAUAGAUAACUGUUAAUCCUUUUUAUAAUAUCUAAAGUUGAUUUCGUGUUCUUUUAUUUGUUAAAAAUAGUUUACCACCGGAUGUUAUUCCACUGACUAUCGAAGACUCGAAGGCAAAACAAGUGAAUGCAGAACAGAGAAAAAAGGAUUACUAUGAUCGUUUUCCAAGGAAAACCAUCUCUGCACUCUUUUGUUUUGCUGAGGUAUUUGUAUUGGAUAAUAUUAUUUUUUCUAGAAACUAUUAAAUUCUCUGUCUAUACUACUAAUUAUCUAUUUUUUUGUAAUAGACUGGAAAGUGCAACAUAAUUUGUACCAUAAUGAAUAUCGACACAGACUAUUCUUGGUAUUUCUUUAGUUGCCUCAAGUGUAGCAAAACUGCCUAUAAGAUUCCAAAGGUUGAAAAUGAGAUUGUCAAGAAAGGCAAGAAAGAAAUGUUUUGGUGUCCAACAUGUAAGGAAGACACUCCUAAGGUGAUACCAAGGUAUCUUUUAAACGUUGGAGUGAUGGAUAGCACUGGAGACACUAAAUGUCUUAUCUUUGAUAAAAGUGCACAAGAGAUAAUCGGUGUGUCUGCAGAGGAUUUGCUGGAAGGGAAGUGGGAUGAGGUAAACAAAUUUAUUGUUAAUAUGUAUAUAGACCAUAUUAUUCAAAUAUCUUAUAUACUUUUUUCAAUCUAUCAUAACAGAUUCAGGAUCCUACAAACGUGCCUCAGCCAAUCAGAGAUUUGGUUGGAAAGACUUUCCAGUUUCUGGUGACUGUUGGAAAGGAAAACAUCAAUGAAACUGAUGAUACCUACAAGGUUUCAACCGUUUGGCUGGGUAAUGAAUCUGACAAUCUAGAUACUAUUGAAGAUUCUGACCAGCAGACUGACCAACGUAAUGACCUCUCUAUUGAUCAGGUAAUGUUAGUAGGUGCAACCAAAAUCAAUCUAUCAAAAAGUUAUUCAAGUUUAUCACUAAAGGGCUGGAUCGUGUUUCAAUUAAAUAGUGAGUACCAUCAGUUAUACUCAAGUCAGGGAAUAAAUUAUGGAUACUCAUAACUAUAUAAUUUAAUGACUUUGUUAUAUGAAAGAUUAUCUAUUAUAUAUUG
Molecule: long non-coding RNA, 2007 nt
Organism: Arabidopsis lyrata subsp. lyrata
Lineage: Eukaryota; Viridiplantae; Streptophyta; Magnoliopsida; Brassicales; Brassicaceae
Exons: 3
Source: RefSeq, a predicted model, not a curated record